This 234-nucleotide ribosomal RNA is filed under the name uncultured bacterium. RNAcentral describes it as "partial 16S ribosomal RNA". It matches the Rfam family "Bacterial small subunit ribosomal RNA", at positions 99 to 334 of the family's 1533-position model. The record is from RNAcentral.
CGAACGGGUGAGUAACACGUGGGUGAUCUGCCCUGCACUUCGGGAUAAGCCUGGGAAACUGGGUCUAAUACCGGAUAUGACCUUGGGAUGCAUGUCCUUUGGUGGAAAGCUUUUGCGGUGUGGGAUGGGCCCGCGGCCUAUCAGCUUGUUGGUGGGGUUAAGGCCUACCAAGGCGACGACGGGUAGCCGGCCUGAGAGGGUGACCGGCCACACUGGGACUGAGAUACGGCCCAG